CUGAGAGCCGCGGCGGCCGUUUCGCGGCGCGAGCGCUCUGAGUUCAGAGCCCGCUCGCGCAUGCGCAAUAACGGCCGCUCGGCACUGCGGCCAUUUCCAGUAAGCCGGCCGUGCUUUGCCGCGCUUUUUUCCGUGCCCGCCCUGUAACAGAGGGCGGGCGUUCUCUGAUUGGCUAGCUGCAUUGGCUGGCAGCUUACCAGUGCUCCCUGGCGGCCAUUCCGGAGGGAACACUUGGUAAGCUGACAGCCUUUGUUUGUGCCUGCAUCCUCCCACUUACACUGUUCUCAGUGCUCUCUGCCCACAGUUGGUUUUCUGUUAAUCCCUGCACAGGGUCACUAGGGGCAUUUUUUGCUCUCACAUUGGUGCCAGUCUGGUACAAAUUUCAUUGUGUCACUGGUAUACCCUGCCUUUUAAGUGUCACUGCUCCCACACCCCAGGUGUCUUUGGUUACAACCUAUCUGUCAUGCAACACCUUAGGGACCACGGGGUUGCCACCCCCACUGAUAUCAAUAAGGACACCAUUCAUCACGUGCCACAGAUAACACGUCCAUGCUCGCCACUGCGAGAAGACGUGGCAUCCAUGGAUCAGUUAAACUCGGAGGAGUUUCACUCACUCUUGGAUGCAACCAUGACCAAGUCGGUCACCCAAGCUAUAGUCACGGCUAUGGGGGCGAUGUCUGAGACCCUGACACAGUCCAUUAGUAAUGCCAUACUGGCGUCUAACAGCCAUCCCGGCGGACCCCGCUCCAUGGCCCAGCCUGACAAUCCUGUGCCCCUCGGCGGCCGUAAGGCUACGCAGAAGACCCACCAUAUGGGCAAAAACACCUCCAAAAACAGCACGACGGACAGGAUACGCCCUGUCACUACUGAGGACGUGGGGCCCCCACGCAAAAGAGCCACCCACCGGGCAAAAGCGGUGAGGACGUGGAAAUGGGCAAAAGCCCAAACAGAGACAUCCGACUCUGGUUCGGACAUAGAGGAGGUAAUGAGUGAGUCAGAGGAACUCGGCUCGUUGGAAUCGGGGAACUCUUCCCCUGAGCGCAGCCUGGCAGUCAUACCAGCUAAGGGAAAAGUGCACGCGGAUGAUUCCAUCAUCCUAGACCCCCAGGGCGAGCCCCUAUUCAACCCUGACGACCUGCAGCACCCCAGGUCCACAGACUGGUUCCCAGCUGACCAUGUGGCCCAGUAUAUUGCGGCCAGAAUAAGGAAGCCCCUGGAUAAAACGACCAGGAAUAAGUUAAGGGCAGAGUGCCCACGCCCGACGGUCCCUGAUAUGGCGUGCGCCACGCCAGAGGUGGACCCCAAGAUUGCCCAGUUCCUGGGUAAGGCUGGCUGGAAAGCCAAAAAAGGGCUAGACUACUCCCUGCGCCACUGCCAGGAUAAGGUGCUCGACUCCUUGGGCCCUAGCGCAAAGAUCUUCGACUUGGUCGAAGAGACAAUCUCAGGUGGCGCACCACUAGACCCCUUAGUGAUCCGAGAGUGGGCACAACGCUCUAUCUGCCUCAUCGGCAACUCAAAUGCCGCACUUAGUACCGAGAGACGGAAGGCAAUUCUCAUGAAAAUAGACCCCAAGCUGGUCAACAUGGCCAUAACCGAGCCUGGACCCCAGGCAAAAGGCCUCCUGUUCGGAGACAAUUUUGUGAAGGAGCUGGGCACCUACGUGAGCACAUUUACAGCCCUGGAUAAGGCACAAACAAACCUAAAACGGGUGUUCUCCCCGAAGGUUUUUGGAGGGGCUGGCAGGUACAGGGGCCGCCUGUCCAGCCGCCCAUCACGGAGCUCCCACCGGGGCUACCGGGGCCCCACGACACCAAGAGUCCCACAGACGGAGACCAGAACCCCCGCACCUUUCUUCCCGGUCAGGGGCAGAUCAUGGCAGCCCAGAGGUCACAGGGGUGCCACAUACGGCCGACGACCUUAUGGUAAGUGCCUUUCCCUUUUCCCUCUCUCAUACCUCACACAUAGGGGGCAGACUUUCCAAAUUUAUCGGGGCAUGGCACAGACUCACGUCCGAUGCCUGGAUUCUCGACACAGUAGCGGGGUACCAUAUAGAAUUCGUCACACACCCAAUCCAAUCCUCAAUGCCACGGUGGAUGGUGUUCGCACCUCAGGACAGGGAACUGGUGUCGAAAGAAAUCAUAGCACUGGCGGAGAAAGGUGCGAUCUAUCAGGUCGCGCCCCACUCCCCAGGGUUCGUGAGCAAUCUGUUCCUGGUCCCCAAGAAAGGCGGUGGGGUAAGACCAGUGAUCAACCUACGCCCACUCAAUACAUUUGUACGAUAUCAUCACUUCAAAAUGGAAGGGAUUCAUUGCCUGCGAGAUCUGCUCAGGCUGGGGGAUUGGAUGGUCAAAUUAGACCUCCAAGAUGCAUAUCUCACCAUCCCCAUUGCAAAGGAGUGUCAGCACCUCCUACAAUUCAGUUGGGACUCCCAGACAUGGAGGUUUCAGUGCCUUCCGUUUGGCCUAUCGUCAGCACCAUGGUGCUUUACGAAACUGCUGAAGCCAGUGGUUGCGUUGCUGCGCAGCAGGGGCGUCCGCAUGAUAAUAUAUCUGGACGAUAUGCUGAUCAUGGCCCAAGACACCCUGCUGCUACAACAACACUUAGAUUGGACGGUAACUUUACUACAGAACCUGGGAUUCCUAAUUAAUUGGGAGAAGUUGGUACUAACCCCCUCCCAGUCCUUAGAAUUCCUAGGGUUCGAAAUAGGGGCGGUCUUAGGAACCCUAAGCCUGCCACCCACAAAGAUGAAAAUCAUCAAGAAGGAGAUCCGCAGAACAUUGGCUCGACCAACACUUACGGUCAGGCAACUAGCCAGGAUAAUUGGACUCCUUUCCGCUUCCAUACAAGCGAUCUUCCCGGGGCCUCUACACUACAGGGCCCUACAGCGACUAAAAGCCGCACAACUGCGCUCAGGACACUCCUACUCAGACUCCGUGCCACUCGAUAACACAGCCAAGGAGGAGCUCAGGUGGUGGCUGCAGCACAUGGAAGCGUGGAACGGCAGAGCGAUCUUCAGCAACAACCCAGAUUGCGUAAUAGAAUCAGAUGCCAGCACACGGGGCUGGGGAGCGCGCUGUGGACAUACCUCCACGGGCGGAAAAUGGUCCCAAGCAGAAAGGACACUACAUAUCAACUGCCUGGAAUUAAUGGCGGGCUCGUUCGCACUGAAGAGCCUCCUGGGUCCCGCAACACAUUGCUCCAUCAUCCUGAGAAUGGACAACGUCUCAGCCGUCCAGUACAUCAACCGCCUCGGUGGCACCAAGUCCAAAAUUUUAGCAGACUUAGCCACAGAAUUUUGGCAGUUUUGCUUAGAACGCAGCAUCACAGUACGAGCCGAAUACAUCCCGGGACUUUCGAACACCGUAGCAGAUUGGAACUCCAGACAUCUGCGGGAUACCAGCGAUUGGCGCCUGAACCGAGAGACGUUCCUACGAUUGCACACUCUAUGGGGUCCGAUGUAUAUAGACCUGUUUGCGUCACGGUUGAAUACACAACUCCCGGAAUUCUUCAGCUGGAGACCGGACCCAGACGUGUUGGCUACGGACGCAUUCCUACAACCAUGGCCGAACAAACGAUUAUACGCAUUCCCACCGUUCGCCCUACUGGCACGAACGCUAGUGCACCUCGACCGCACACGGACGUCCCUAGUCCUCAUAGCUCCAUUCUGGACUGCACAGCCUUGGUUCCCUUUACUCAUGGAAAUGUCCAUAGAUCUCCCCAGAAUGCUGCCCGAGGACCCACAUCUCCUCUCAGACCCAGAUGGGAACCCUCACCCUCUGAUGGCGCAGGGACAACUCAGGUUGUUAGCGUGGCUCCGUUCCGGGGUCCCUGGGUCGUGCCAAACAUUCCGCAAACAACUCUCGAACUCCUGGCGGGAGCCUGGGCUCCGGGAACACGACGAUCCUACUCUAAAGCUUGGAACAUCUGGAGUGGUUGGUGCAUGGAACAACACGUGGAUCCCGUAUGUGCCCCUGUAAACCACCUGUUGUGUUUCAUUACACACCUAUUCGACCAAGGACUGGCAUACCGGACCAUCAAUGUAUACAGAUCAGCGAUCUCGGCGGGACACAAGGGUAUAGAAGGAUUUCCAGCAGGCAAGCAUCUGUUGGUAUGCAAGCUCUUACGCGGUAUUCGAUUGGCAAGACCACCGCGACCCCGAUAUAGUACAGUAUGGGACGUGAAUGUGGUCUUAAAUCUUUUGGAACUAUGGCCACAGAACUCUGACCUCACAUUGAAACAACUGUCAGCGUAACUGGCCAUGCUCUUAUGCCUAAUAUCCUGCAAAAGAGUCUCAGAUGUCCGGGCAUUAGACGUCGACGCACGCACGUUCACUCCAACGGGAGUUACUUUCAACAUUUCCAGGCGGACAAAAUCAGCGACAACAUCAGUGUCAUAUCCAGCAUUCCCGCACAACAAAAACCUGUGCCCGAUUGCCUGCCUCAAGGAAUACGAAACACGGACACAGGCAUUUCGAAACUCUGGACAACAUGAACUAUUUCUGGCCGUCAAUUCACCACACCAGCCAGUAUCUUCCGUAACAUUAGCCCGAUGGGUGAAAUGGAUAAUGGCCUCUGCAAACAUAGAUACUUCGGUAUACGGGGCACACUCCACUAGAGGAGCUAUGGCAUCUAAAGUAUUCAACUUGGGAUGCAGACUGGAAGAUUUGUUACGGACGGCAGAUUGGUCUCAUGAAUCCACCUUUAAGGAAUAUUAUUUUCACCCUACAGACCACGUAGCAUCAAGAGUCAUUGCACAGCUUUGAACUAGCAUAAUAUGAGCCUCCGUGUCCUUUAAUAAAAUUACCAGAUUUUACUAAUUACAUGACGUAAAGUCAUGAUUUUAUAAAGGACACGGAGGCGAAUAUUGGCCCACCCAGUAAGUAUAUCAGGCAUAUAUCAGCGAAAGUAGAGUGACAUGCCCACCCAAUAAACAAUAAAAUAAGGGUCAUUGUGGUGUCUUAUUUCGUCUCGAUUUAAUUCGUUUUUCUUUAAGACAACUGUACUAGUGAGUCUGUAGUACAUCAGGCAUAUGCUAAGAUUUUGUCACUAACGUGUGGCAAACAGUUCCUCAGACCACAUUUUACCAUAUUUUUCUCUAUCCCAUUACAGCUUAAUUCGCCAUACGCGACACCCUGGAUGACCAGUUGUCACCGCAGUUUACGCGUACAAGUUAUUACAAGUUCGGGAUAUGGGACAGUUCGACACAACGGAUGAAGUGUUCCAGUGUCUCCUCAAGUUAUAAUGAUACAGCUUCGGCAUGACCAAAGAAAGAGGAAGAGGAAAGGUCACAUGAAUAGUUAUAGAUAGAGGGACUGUUCCUAUUGGUUAAGGGUUGGGUUAACCCUUGGAGAACCUGUUAAACUUUUUUUCUAUGAAUGUUUAUACCUUCUCUUUGCUGCUGAGGUAUAAUAAAGAAAGAGAUAAGCAUAAUAUUCGCCUCCGUGUCCUUUAUAAAAUCAUGACUUUACGUCAUGUAAUUAGUAAAAUCUGG
Molecule: non-coding RNA, 5490 nt
Organism: Pelobates cultripes (western spadefoot toad)
Lineage: Eukaryota; Metazoa; Chordata; Amphibia; Anura; Pelobatidae
Source: the annotation of a GenBank genome assembly